This 253-nucleotide ribosomal RNA is filed under the name uncultured bacterium. Its description in RNAcentral is "partial 16S ribosomal RNA". It matches the Rfam family "Bacterial small subunit ribosomal RNA", at positions 524 to 776 of the family's 1533-position model. The record is from RNAcentral.
GACAGAGGGUGCAAACGUUGCUCGGAAUUACUGGGCGUAAAGCGCGUGUAGGCGGACUGAUAAGUCAGGUGUGAAAUCCCUGGGCUCAACCCAGGAACUGCACUUGAAACUGCCAGUCUUGAGUGAUGGAGAGGAUGGCGGAAUUCCUGGUGUAGAGGUGAAAUUCGUAGAUAUCAGGAGGAACACCGGUGGCGAAGGCGGCCAUCUGGAAAUCUACUGACGCUGAGACGCGAAAGCGUGGGGAGCAAACAGG